UCUAGUAUAAGCAUUAUACCGUGAAACUGCGAAUGGCUCAUUAAAUCAGUUAUCGUUUAUUUGAUAGUACCUUACUACUUGGAUACCUGUGGUAAUUCUAGAGCUAAUACAUGCUAAAAACCCCGACUUCGGGAGGGGUGUGUUUAUUAGAUAAAAAACCAAUGCCCUUCGGGGCUCCCUUGGUGAUUCAUGAUAACCUAACGGAUCGCAUGGCCUUGCGCCGGCGACGGUUCAUUCAAAUUUCUGCCCUAUCAACUUUCGAUGGUAAGGUAUUGGCUUACCAUGGUUUCAACGGGUAACGGGGAGUUUGGCUCGACUCCGGAGAGGGGGCCUGAGAAACGGCCACCACAUCCAAGGAAGGCAGCAGGCGCGCAAAUUACCCAAUCCCGACACGGGGAGGUAGUGACAAUAAAUACUGAUACAGGGCUCUUUUGGGUCUUGUAAUCGGAAUGAGUACAAUUUAAAUCCCUUAACGAGGAACAAUUGGAGGGCAAGUCUGGUGCCAGCAGCCGCGGUAAUUCCAGCUCCAAUAGCGUAUAUUAAAGUUGUUGCAGUUAAAAAGCUCGUAGUUGAACCUUGGGCCUGGCUGGCCGGUCCGCCUCACCGCGUGUACUGGUCCGGCCGGGCCUUUCUUUCUGGGGAGUCGCAUGCCCUUCACUGGGUGUGUCGGCGGACCAGGACUUUUACUGUGAACAAAUUAGAGUGUUCAAAGCAGGCCUUUGCUCGAAUACAUUAGCAUGGAAUAAUAGAAUAGGACGUGCGGUCCUAUUUUGUUGGUUUCUAGGAUCGCCGUAAUGAUUAAUAGGCUCAGUCGGGGGCAUCAGUAUUCAAUUGUCAGAGGUGAAAUUCUUGGAUUUAUUGAAGACUAACUACUGCGAAAGCAUUUGCCAAGGAUGUUUUCAUUAAUCAGUGAACGAAAGUUAGGGGAUCGAAGACGAUCAGAUACCGUCGUAGUCUUAACCGUAAACUAUGCCGACUAGGGAUCGGGCGAUGUUUCUAUCUUGACUCGCUCGGCACCUUACGAGAAAUCAAAG
RNAcentral lists this ribosomal RNA (1034 nucleotides) under Occultibambusa jonesii. RNAcentral describes it as "SSU rRNA". It matches the Rfam family "Eukaryotic small subunit ribosomal RNA", at positions 59 to 1103 of the family's 1831-position model. Lineage: Eukaryota; Fungi; Ascomycota; Dothideomycetes; Pleosporales; Occultibambusaceae. The record is from RNAcentral.